RNAcentral lists this unclassified non-coding RNA (210 nucleotides) under soil metagenome. RNAcentral's name for it is "partial contains 5.8S ribosomal RNA, internal transcribed spacer 2, and large subunit ribosomal RNA". The record is from RNAcentral.
AACCUUAUGGACCUGCGGGCGUAUACCUGCGGAGGGAUCAUUACCGAGUUUACAACUCCCAAACCCCUGUGAACAUACCACUUGUUGCCUCGGCGGAUCAGCCCGCUCCCGGUAAAACGGGACGGCCCGCCAGAGGACCCCUAAACUCUGUUUCUAUAUGUAACUUCUGAGUAAAACCAUAAAUAAAUCAAAACUUUUAGCAAUGGAUCU